This 471-nucleotide ribosomal RNA is filed under the name Streptococcus mitis. RNAcentral's name for it is "bacterial SSU rRNA". It matches the Rfam family "Bacterial small subunit ribosomal RNA", at positions 28 to 485 of the family's 1533-position model. Lineage: Bacteria; Bacillati; Bacillota; Bacilli; Lactobacillales; Streptococcaceae. The record is from RNAcentral.
GACGAACGCUGGCGGCGUGCCUAAUACAUGCAAGUAGAACGCUGAAGGAGGAGCUUGCUUCUCCGGAUGAGUUGCGAACGGGUGAGUAACGCGUAGGUAACCUGCCUGGUAGCGGGGGAUAACUAUUGGAAACGAUAGCUAAUACCGCAUAAGAGUAGAUGUUGCAUGACAUUUGCUUAAAAGGUGCAAUUGCAUCACUACCAGAUGGACCUGCGUUGUAUUAGCUAGUUGGUGGGGUAACGGCUCACCAAGGCGACGAUACAUAGCCGACCUGAGAGGGUGAUCGGCCACACUGGGACUGAGACACGGCCCAGACUCCUACGGGAGGCAGCAGUAGGGAAUCUUCGGCAAUGGACGGAAGUCUGACCGAGCAACGCCGCGUGAGUGAAGAAGGUUUUCGGAUCGUAAAGCUCUGUUGUAAGAGAAGAACGAGCGUGAGAGUGGAAAGUUCACACUGUGACGUAUCUACCA